AUGGUUGAUGAAGAAGAUGUAGAGGCGGAAGAGGGAAAGAGGCAGAGAGAGCUAGAAGUACAAGAGGAAGAAUCAGAUGAUGAUCAAUCAGAAGAGGAAGAAAUGCUGCAUUAUGAGGGUGACACUGAAGUUGAGGACCCAUUUGAGGUAGAGGAAGAUAGGACUUUUGAACAAGAAGAAGAAACUAUAGUUGAACCUGUAAAGAAGAAGCAGAAGCUGCCAGUUAGAAGAGGCCCAACCACUAGGUCACAUUGUAGUGAGCUACCAGAGGUUGAACCUGAUUUCAGACCAUCAUCAGAUGAAGAAGAGGAGGGGUUGUUGAGGGAGAGUGAUGAUGAUGGUUUUCAGCCACUCUCUUUUGUCCUACAAAAGAAAAGGAAGAGUAGGGCAAAGAAAAGGCCUCCUAGGAAGUGGUACAAUGAGAAAAUGGAGCAACCACAUGAGCAACUAUGUAUGAAGUUGUGUUUUAGGGAUCAGCAUCAAUUCAGAGAAGCUUUGUUGAAUUUGCACGUCACCCAGGCCAGGAAUUUCAGGUAUCACAGGAAUUCAGAUCAGAGGAUAAUUGUUGAGUGUACAGAUAAAAAAUGCCAGUUCUCAAUGGUGGCAGCAGUUAUAAAAGGGGAGAAAACAUUUGUAAUUAAGAAGAUGAGACUAGAGCACACUUGCCCUAGUACCACUGAGACCACCAGGGUUAGUGCUAAGUGGCUAGCACAGAAAUAUGAUCAUCUCUUUAGAUCUGAUAUAACUACUGGUAUUCAGACUAUAAUUGAUGCAUGCAAUGAAAAAUAUGGUGUAGAUGUGCCCAAGUGCAUGGCAUAUAGGGCAAAGAACAUAGCUAUUGAUGCUGUGUUAGGAGAUCACAGGAAGCAAUAUCCUAGGCUUAAAGACUAUGCUCAGACUGUCAUGGACACAAACCCUGGGAGUAGAGUAAUAGUCACUACUGUUACUCCAGUACCUAAUGCAAAAAUACCCCACCCAGGCCCAAGAUUCCAUGCCAUGUUUUUUUGCCUUAAUGGAGCAAGGGAGGGGUUUCUCAAUGGGUGUAGGCCUUUCAUUGGUUAG
RNAcentral lists this ribosomal RNA (1062 nucleotides) under Triticum aestivum (bread wheat). Its description in RNAcentral is "partial small subunit ribosomal RNA". Lineage: Eukaryota; Viridiplantae; Streptophyta; Magnoliopsida; Poales; Poaceae. The record is from RNAcentral.